Molecule: unclassified non-coding RNA, 776 nt
Filed under: Hevea brasiliensis (rubber tree)
Lineage: Eukaryota; Viridiplantae; Streptophyta; Magnoliopsida; Malpighiales; Euphorbiaceae
Source: RNAcentral
ACAACGAUAAGAUCAAUCUGUACAGUAGCUAUCUACAGCUGGUACAUGGAUAAGAUAAAGAAUAACAGCUAACAGUUACAAGGAUUUAUCCCUAUCAAAAACAAAUUUUUGUUGUUUUAAAUAACUGUGAGGCAAAAGCCCAGUUGAGCUUGAAGAGUCUCUUUGCAUCUCAUGCACUGCAUUUACUAAAUUCUCUUAAUUAUUUUUUUUAUUAUUAUUUUCAUCUUAAGCUCAUGCUAACACAUGCCUAACAGCUUAGAUCCAACUAAUAUUCUAUGCAUGAUGCACUCGCAUUAUGAGUAAAGGUAGCUUUUUGCAAAUUGGAACAAAGCUAGACAAGUAUUUUAAUUCCUCUAUUGCCUUUUGCUUUGUUGGUUAAUAGAGGGAGUUACAAACUCAUAAAUGCUAACAUUGAUAGACAAUCCACCAUUAAAUUAAUGAAAAUUUUUGCCUAAAUUCCAUGCUUCAUAUGAACUCAAAACACAAUAAUGUAUGAUGAGAAUCACAUAUAAAAUAAGUAGAACUGAUAUUAUUAUCUUUACCCAGAUAAUAAUUCAAACUUAUGUUAGCUUUCAAGAUGGAAUCACAUGAAAAUCAAUUAUUAUACCCAGUUUGAAUUAUUAUCUAUAUAUAUAAACAAAAGAAACCUGGAAGCUAUAGUUGGCAAUAUUGGCUAAUGCAGCUCUGUGUUGCAAGAUUCCAUCUUUCUGAAUCCUAAUGGACGUAAAAAGCUGUAAAACACAUAGGAUGAGUGUUGAUAUUGUUGUUUCUGUUUG